AGUGAACGCUGGCGGUAGGCCUAACACAUGCAAGUCGAACGGCAGCACAGUAAGAGCUUGCUCUUACGGGUGGCGAGUGGCGGACGGGUGAGGAAUACAUCGGAAUCUACUUUUUCGUGGGGGAUAACGUAGGGAAACUUACGCUAAUACCGCAUACGACCUACGGGUGAAAGCAGGGGAUCUUCGGACCUUGCGCGAUUGAAUGAGCCGAUGUCGGAUUAGCUAGUUGGCGGGGUAAAGGCCCACCAAGGCGACGAUCCGUAGCUGGUCUGAGAGGAUGAUCCGCCACACUGGAACUGAGACACGGUCCAGACUCCUACGGGAGGCAGCAGUGGGGAAUAUUGGACAAUGGGCGCAAGCCUGAUCCAGCCAUACCGCGUGGGUGAAAAAGGCCUUCGGGUUGGAAAGCCCUUUUGUUGGGAAAGAAAAGCAGCAGGUUAAUACCCCGCUGUUCUGACGGUACCCAAAGAAUAAGCACCGGCUAACUUCGUG
This 492-nucleotide ribosomal RNA is filed under the name uncultured bacterium. RNAcentral's name for it is "partial 16S ribosomal RNA". It matches the Rfam family "Bacterial small subunit ribosomal RNA", at positions 29 to 507 of the family's 1533-position model. The record is from RNAcentral.